This 429-nucleotide ribosomal RNA is filed under the name Bacteroidota bacterium. RNAcentral describes it as "Bacteroidetes bacterium partial 16S ribosomal RNA". It matches the Rfam family "Bacterial small subunit ribosomal RNA", at positions 355 to 776 of the family's 1533-position model. Lineage: Bacteria; Pseudomonadati; Bacteroidota. The record is from RNAcentral.
UAGGGAAUCUUCCGCAAUGGGCGAAAGCCUGACGGAGCAACGCCGCGUGAGUGAUGAAGGCCUUCGGAUCGUAAAACUCUGUUAUUAGGGAAGAAUAAAUGUGUAAGUAACUAUGCACGUCUUGACGGUACCUAAUCAGAAAGCCACGGCUAACUACGUGCCAGCAGCCGCGGUAAUACGUAGGUGGCAAGCGUUAUCCGGAAUUAUUGGGCGUAAAGCGCGCGUAGGCGGUUUUUUAAGUCUGAUGUGAAAGCCCACGGCUCAACCGUGGAGGGUCAUUGGAAACUGGAAAGCUUGAGUGCAGAAGAGGAAAGUGGAAUUCCAUGUGUAGCGGUGAAAUGCGCAGAGAUAUGGAGGAACACCAGUGGCGAAGGCGACUUUCUGGUCUGUAACUGACGCUGAUGUGCGAAAGCGUGGGGAUCAAACAGG